UACGUAGGGUGCGAGCGUUGUCCGGAAUUAUUGGGCGUAAAGGGCUCGUAGGCGGUUUGUCACGUCGGGAGUGAAAACUCGGGGCUUAACCCCGAGCCUGCUUCCGAUACGGGCAGACUAGAGGUAUGCAGGGGAGAACGGAAUUCCUGGUGUAGCGGUGAAAUGCGCAGAUAUCAGGAGGAACACCGGGGGCGAAGGCGGUUCUCUGGGCCGAUACUGACGCUGAGGAGCGAAAGCGUGGGGAGCGAACAGG
This 253-nucleotide ribosomal RNA is filed under the name uncultured bacterium. RNAcentral's name for it is "partial 16S ribosomal RNA". It matches the Rfam family "Bacterial small subunit ribosomal RNA", at positions 524 to 776 of the family's 1533-position model. The record is from RNAcentral.